GCAUAUCAAUAAGCGGAGGAAAAGAAACCAACAGGGAUUGCCCUAGUAACGGCGAGUGAAGCGGCAACAGCUCAAAUUUGAAAUCUGGCCUCGGCCCGAGUUGUAAUUUGCAGAGGAAGCUUUAGGCGCGGCACCUUCUGAGUCCCCUGGAACGGGGCGCCAUAGAGGGUGAGAGCCCCGUAUAGUUGGAUGCCUAGCCUGUGUAAAGCUCCUUCGACGAGUCGAGUAGUUUGGGAAUGCUGCUCAAAAUGGGAGGUAAAUUUCUUCUAAAGCUAAAUACCGGCCAGAGACCGAUAGCGCACAAGUAGAGUGAUCGAAAGAUGAAAAGCACUUUGAAAAGAGGGUUAAAUAGCACGUGAAAUUGUUGAAAGGGAAGCGCUUGUGACCAGACUUGCGCCGGGCUGAUCAUCCGGUGUUCUCACCGGUGCACUCUGCCCGGCUCAGGCCAGCAUCGGCUCUCGCGGGGGGAUAAAGGCCCCGGGAACGUAGCUCCUCCGGGAGUGUUAUAGCCCGGGGUGUAAUGCCCUCCCGGGGACCGAGGUUCGCGCAUCUGCAAGGAUG
Molecule: ribosomal RNA, 561 nt
Filed under: Arcopilus sp.
Lineage: Eukaryota; Fungi; Ascomycota; Sordariomycetes; Sordariales; Chaetomiaceae
Description: partial large subunit ribosomal RNA
Rfam family: Eukaryotic large subunit ribosomal RNA
Source: RNAcentral